Nicotiana tabacum (common tobacco) is the source of this 708-nucleotide non-coding RNA. The record is from RefSeq and is a predicted model, not a curated record. Lineage: Eukaryota; Viridiplantae; Streptophyta; Magnoliopsida; Solanales; Solanaceae.
UCCACCCCAGCCCGCGACCUGAACCAGCCCAAGACCCCCCUCUAACCCCUUGCUCUCAAAAACACAGAACCAUCUCCAUCUUCGCAAAAAAGAACUCAGUCGCACCUCAUCUGCAGAAAACACACUCUCGUAUUCAGAGAAGUCAUUCAUCUCUCACCUGAUUCUCACCCAUUUCUCACUUCACACACACACACACACACAAUAGCAGCCUGAAAUUCAAAACGAAAAAAUUCAAAAAAAAACUUAGGUAUGGAAAUACUGAAAACAAUUCAUAAGCUGUAGCUAUUUAGAGAGCUGUAGUUUUCUCUUGCAUUUCUGGGUUUCGAAGUGGAUUCAGCUUGGAUUUUCUGCUGUUUGUUGCUGUUCCUCCUUCAAUUAAUAGCUGAACCCCAAUUUGAUGUUAUUUCUGGCCUUUAUUUGGCUAUUUUAAAGUCUUACUACUGCUUUCCAGUGAUAUCUGAAGAAGUUAUUUGUUAGUUAAAGUUAGAGAAGAUGGCGAAGGUUGCUGCUGCGGGUCCCGUACAUCCAUCAAAUGCACUUAAAUUUGGUGGGGGUGGUGGUUCUAAGGUCACUGCCACCACAGUGAAACGAAAAACUCCAUCUGAGUUACGCGGAGAGCAAUUGAAGAGAAAGAAUACUACACAACCCGUGGAUGAAUCAUCAGCCCCAAUUGGUGGCUCUAUGAGCAAUGGUGUUUUCCCGGGGUCC